RNAcentral lists this ribosomal RNA (253 nucleotides) under uncultured bacterium. Its description in RNAcentral is "partial 16S ribosomal RNA". It matches the Rfam family "Bacterial small subunit ribosomal RNA", at positions 524 to 776 of the family's 1533-position model. The record is from RNAcentral.
UACGUAGGUGGCAAGCGUUAUCCGGAUUUACUGGGUGUAAAGGGCGUGUAGGCGGGAGAGCAAGUCAGACGUGAAAUUCCAGGGCUCAACCCUGGAACUGCGUUUGAAACUGUUCUUCUUGAGUGAUGGAGAGGCAGGCGGAAUUCCGUGUGUAGCGGUGAAAUGCGUAGAUAUACGGAGGAACACCAGUGGCGAAGGCGGCCUGCUGGACAUUAACUGACGCUGAGGCGCGAAAGCGUGGGUAUCAAACAGG